AUGUGAUCGUCUCUCGCAUAUCAAUAAGCGGAGGAAAAGAAACUAACAAGGAUUCCCCUAGUAACGGCGAGUGAAGCGGGAAGAGCUCAAAUUUGAAAUCUUAAAGGGUUUCCCUUUACGAAUUGUAGUUUAAAGAAGUGUUUUCAGUUGAGGUUUUGGUAAAAGUUCUUUGGAAUAGGACAUCAUAGAGGGUGAGAAUCCCGUAUUUGACCUUUACUUUCAACUUUGUGAUACACUUUCGAAGAGUCGGAUUGUUUGGGAAUGCAGUCCAAAAUGGGUGGUAAAUUUCAUCUAAAGCUAAAUAUUGGCGAGAGACCGAUAGCGAACAAGUACCGUGAGGGAAAGAUGAAAAGAACUUUGAAAAGAGAGUUAAACAGUACGUGAAAUUGUCAAAAGGGAAGCGUUUGACACCAGUGUUGUUUUUCUGAAAAUCAAUUAAAGAACUGUUUAUGCUAAGUUGUUUAGACUUUAUCAGCUAUCUGCUUAGUUUUGAGCUUUUCUUUAAUGCACUUUUCAGUUAACAAGUCAACAUCAAUUUCUUUUGCUGUAAAAAAGCUUGAGGAAGGUGGCUUGAGAUUCGUCUUAAGUGUUUAUAGCCUCUUGCCUAUGCAGUCGGAGAGAUUGAGGUCUGCAGCGUAGAUCCUUCGGGGCUAAAUGCAUUUGUGCUAAGUUAUAGCAUUUUAUAGACAACUUGUUGACUAUGAUUUGUCUUGUAGCUUACUCGCUUAUGUUAUUUUACCUACGCUUAGGAUGUUGACGAGACUGUCGAUCUC
Molecule: ribosomal RNA, 773 nt
Filed under: uncultured Neocallimastigales
Lineage: Eukaryota; Fungi; Neocallimastigomycota; Neocallimastigomycetes; Neocallimastigales
Description: partial large subunit ribosomal RNA
Rfam family: Eukaryotic large subunit ribosomal RNA
Source: RNAcentral